UACGGAGGGUGCGAGCGUUAAUCGGAAUUACUGGGCGUAAAGCGCAUGCAGGUGGUUCAUUAAGUCAGAUGUGAAAGCCCGGGGCUCAACCUCGGAACUGCAUUUGAAACUGGUGAACUAGAGUACUGUAGAGGGGGGGGUAGAAUUUCAGGUGUAGCGGUGAAAAUGCGUAGAGAUCUGAAGGAAUACCAGUGGCGAAGGCGGCCCCCUGGACAGAUACUGACACUCAGAUGCGAAAAGCGUGGGGGAGCAAAACAGGAUUAGAUACCCGGAGUC
RNAcentral lists this ribosomal RNA (276 nucleotides) under uncultured bacterium. RNAcentral describes it as "partial 16S ribosomal RNA". It matches the Rfam family "Bacterial small subunit ribosomal RNA", at positions 524 to 795 of the family's 1533-position model. The record is from RNAcentral.